Long non-coding RNA from Chinchilla lanigera (long-tailed chinchilla), 612 nucleotides. RefSeq lists it as uncharacterized. The record is from RefSeq and is a predicted model, not a curated record. The transcript is spliced from 2 exons. NCBI's taxonomy places the organism in Eukaryota, Metazoa, Chordata, Mammalia, Rodentia, Chinchillidae.
GCCAGCAUCAUAUAGGGAGUCUCCAGUGCCAGCGUCCACAUCCUUCAUUCGCGUCCUUGAAGGGUUUCCCUUCACAUUUUCUGAUGGUGUUUCUGAGUACAUGGUGUCAACAGCACUCAGAACUGUUAGGUUUUCUAUUUAUCCUCAGGCCAGGAAAAGGCACAGAUCACUGCAGUGUAAAAUUACCAGUGCUUUUGACAGUGACCUGGAAGCACUGCGGAAUGAAAAAAUUUAGCCUUGAGAGCUGAGGUUCAGCCCCAGGCCCAUCUUAACCAAGAAGUUCUGCUCAAUUAUACAGGUCACAAGAAGUUCUGCUAGUCUUGAAAAUAUUGAACUCAUCAAACUGAAGUUCGGUGUUGUUGACACAUCUUGAUGAAUGGCCAGUUUUAGACACCAAGUCUCUGCAAAGCAGCACAUGUUCUUCUGAAGCCUUGAAGACUCACUGAAAUGGGAGAAGUGACCACAUUUGCUGAAGAAAGGGGACUGUUUCUUGGGAAUUACUCUUGCCAAGAGUGGGGAAUCAUAAUGGUUAAGAGCUCCGGCUUCAGAGGCGUCUAGUUGAAGCUUCCCUUUGCCACUUCUUAGCUAUAAAUCUUUGAAUGAGUUACCCUC